UCCGUACAAUGGAAUAUUAUUUGACAAUAAAAGCAUUGAUGUGAGUGUGCUACAUGAGGGGCAAGUUUUUCACUAACGCUCCAUUCUGAUCCAAUGACUGGAAUCUGAUAGCAAUCCUUGCUAGAAGU
Ictidomys tridecemlineatus (thirteen-lined ground squirrel) is the source of this 128-nucleotide small nucleolar RNA. Lineage: Eukaryota; Metazoa; Chordata; Mammalia; Rodentia; Sciuridae. The record is from Ensembl.